Molecule: ribosomal RNA, 252 nt
Filed under: uncultured Burkholderiales bacterium
Lineage: Bacteria; Pseudomonadati; Pseudomonadota; Betaproteobacteria; Burkholderiales
Description: partial 16S ribosomal RNA
Rfam family: Bacterial small subunit ribosomal RNA
Source: RNAcentral
UUACUGGGCGUAAAGCGUGCGCAGGCGGUUUUGUAAGACAGUGGUGAAAUCCCCGGGCUCAACCUGGGAACUGCCAUUGUGACUGUAAGGCUAGAGUGCGGCAGAGGGGGAUGGAAUUCCGCGUGUAGCAGUGAAAUGCGUAGAUAUGCGGAGGAACACCGAUGGCGAAGGCAAUCCCCUGGGCCUGCACUGACGCUCAUGCACGAAAGCGUGGGGAGCAAACAGGAUUAGAUACCCUGGUAGUCAAGGGCG